This 494-nucleotide ribosomal RNA is filed under the name uncultured bacterium. RNAcentral's name for it is "bacterial SSU rRNA". It matches the Rfam family "Bacterial small subunit ribosomal RNA", at positions 34 to 518 of the family's 1533-position model. The record is from RNAcentral.
CGCUAGCGACAGGCUUAACACAUGCAAGUCGAGGAGCAGCAUAAAAGUAGCAAUACUUUGGUGGCGACCGGCGCACGGGUGAGUAACGCGUAUGCAACCUACCUAUCAGGAGGGGAGUAACCCGGCGAAAGUCGGACUAAUACCGCAUAAAACAGGGGCACCGCAUGGCGAUAUUUGUUAAAGAAAUUCGCUGAUAGAUGGGCAUGCGUUCCAUUAGGUAGUUGGUGAGGUAACGGCUCACCAAGCCGACGAUGGAUAGGGGAACUGAGAGGUUGGUCCCCCACACUGGUACUGAGACACGGACCAGACUCCUACGGGAGGCAGCAGUGAGGAAUAUUGGUCAAUGGGCGGGAGCCUGAACCAGCCAAGUCCGCGUGAAGGAAGAAGGAUCUAUGGUUCGUAAACUUCUUUUGCAGGGGAAUAAAGUGCAGGACGUGUCCUGUUUUGUAUGUACCCUGAGAAUAAGGAUCGGCUAACUCCGUGCCAGCCGCCGC